Callithrix jacchus (white-tufted-ear marmoset) is the source of this 2654-nucleotide long non-coding RNA. The record is from Ensembl. NCBI's taxonomy places the organism in Eukaryota, Metazoa, Chordata, Mammalia, Primates, Cebidae.
UGCAACUCUCAUCCAUCACCCUGAAUUUUAAGAUUUUAUUUCAUGUUUGUUUCAGAGCCAUCUUUCUUUACCUGGGUCUCCUGAUAAUCUUUUGUAUCCUGAAAGAGAACAUUCUACUCACUCUGUAAUUAUCAGUCUUUCCAUCACCUUCCUUUUUUCUUGUUCCAAACAAAAUUAUUGAGUUUGCUUACCUUUCCCCUGACAAAUCCUGUCAUUUCAAAGUUAAUUGCUUCUACUUCCAUUACACACCUUCCUUGCUUUAUUUUGUCUAUUAACUAUGCUUUCUUGUAAGUAGAUUGUAUCUAUUCCACUUGUUCCCUUUCUCUUCCUAUUAAUGAACUUCCUAGCCCUGGCAUUGGUUGAGAAUUAUUCUUCAAUUAUCUUUAACCAAUCUCCAAAUUAUUUGCUGCUUAGAUGAUUGCUCUUGGCAUCCCCCUUGCUAAUUCACCUUUGUUAGGAAACUCUGGUCUCUGAAAAAUAUCCCUUUCUUACAGAGUAUAGGAGAGAAUUAUUCCUUCAAACAAUGUUUUAACUACUCUUUCUUUUGAGUUGGUUUUAUUUUCUCCUCCCUUUGAAUGUCUAGCAGCAUGUGUCUUUCAGCUAGAAUUACACAAUGUCUAUACCUCUGUCAGGUAAGAGGAGGAAAAAGGCACAUCUCCUGGCACUUUUCCAAAAUGAAUCAAAUAAAAGCCCCCACAAGCUCCAUGCCUCUGGGUAGAGCACAGGCUGGUUUCCUUCAGGAGGAAUAAUUUUGACUGUGUUAUGUUUCACUGGCCUUCCUCACCUUCCAUAUCUGAAUACCUUAUAGGUUGAUUGUUUUUCUCCUUAAAUGUACUCUUAACACUGAUUCUAUCUACUCAUUCUGGAUCUUGUUUUAUGGCUCCUUGCAAACUAUUCAUCUUCCUACCUACCCCCCACUAUCUUGAUUUUUCUACUCAAUUCUUUUUUUUUUUUAGACGGAGUUUCGCUCUUGUUACCCAGGCUGGAGUGAAAUGGCGCGAUCUCGGCUCACUGCAACCUCCACCCCCUGGAUUCAAGCAAUUCUCCCGCCUCAGCCUCCUGAGUUGCUGGGAUUACAGAUUGUUCAUGCCACUAGAAAAACAGACAAAAACUACCCAGAAGACUGCCUGGUGAACUUAACUGCUCUUCAAGGCCUACUGAUGAAGACAAAUGGAAGACCACUGGCACCCAGGCGGGCAGGAUCACUGAGGGUUCAGGCCCAUGAAGAGCUGAGAGAUGAGUCAUUGCAUUCGAUAAAGAGCUUUAAUCCACUGAGGUCCUGGUAAGAGGCAGAGGGAACCUGGAAUCAAUGAGGAAAGGGGAAAGUUAUAAAUAGGAUUCCGAUCAGCUCUAGAAAUGAGAACUGAAGCCUCUAAUUGCACUUUGUUUUCCAUGUUAUGUUAUUGGAAGACAUUUUUGGUGUUUUAGUCUCUUUAUUCCCAUCCUAUUGUAUAUAAUGUUAUCAGUAGCCAAAUGUAACUGUUAUUCCGUAUGUUGAAAAAUAACAAUAUCAUCUCAUAAUAUACCUAGAGGGGAAUGUGAUAUGACCUUUGCUUCUGUGAGCAUCUGCUGAUGUCAAGGAGAUAAAACUAACAUAAUGAAAAAGAACAAAAUAAAAAUGUACAAGGAUGCAGUGUGCAUGCUGGUGAAACAACUGAUUCCAGGAGAGAGUACCAAGGAUCAGAAAACUCUAGAAAGGGGCUAUCAGCAAGUGAAACUACCUGAGCUUGAUGAAGGGAUGACGUUGGAAUGGACAGAAUGAAGCUGAAAAGCUGUCAUUCUGGGGAAAACAGGGAUACUGCAAGAAGCUAUAUGCAGGAAGAGGUGAGGAGAAAGCAUCAGUGAUUAUUCAUAGAAACAAACUUUUUUGUUUUCUGCUUUAUUUCUUUAAAAAAUGGGGAUACAUGUGCAGAACGUGCAGUUUUGUUACAUAGUAUAUGUGUGCCAUGGUGGUUUGCUGCACCUAUUGACCUGUGCUCUAAGUUCCCUCCACUUUCCCUCUAUCCACCAAUAGGCCGUGGUGUGUGCUGUUCCCCUCUCUGUGUCCAUGUAUUGUCAAUGUUAACUCCCUCUUAUGACUGAGAACAUGUGAUGUUUGGUUUUCUGUUCUUGUGUUAGUUUACUGAGGAUGAUGGCUUCCACCUUCAUCCACGUCCCUGCAAAGUACAUGAACUGAUUCCUUUUUACUGCUGCAUAGUAUUCCAUGAUAUAUGUACCACAUUUUCUUUAUCCAGUCUAUCAUUGAUGGGUAUUGGGGUUGAUUCCAAGUCUCUGUGCUUGUAAAUAAUGUUUUAUUAAGCAUACAUGUGCAUGUGUCUUUAUAGUAGAAUGAUUUAUAAUCCUUUGAGUAUAUACCCAGUAAUGGGAUUGCUGGGUCAUGUGGUAUUUCUGGUUCUAGAUCCUUGAGGAAUCGCCAUACUAUCUUCCACAGUGGUUGAACUAAUUUAUAUUCCCACCAAAAGUGUAAAAGCAGAACCAAACUUUUAUUUGACAAUUUUCCAUCUGGUGACAGACCAAACUCUAAGAAAAGACCCAGAAUGCCCUCUAUGCAUUCUUUGUGCAAAAAGUAUGUUUGCAAAGUCAUCGUGUUGUCUGAUACAUGAAAACUUUAAAAACACUUUUAAAAUGCAGUCUUUUCUGCAUUUAAAUAACAC